GCUGUCCCACGCGCCGGGUCCCGUUGGCGCCGGGGCCUCCUGGGACGGCCUGGCCGCGGCCUGCGGGUGUAGGCGCCUCGGCGGCCACCGCGUCCCCAGGGGGCCUCGCGGACGGGGGCGCGGGGCUGCGGGGAGGAGGCGGGCGGGCCCCUCGGGCGACACCGCGGGGCGGGCGGCGGGAAGCCCGGACUCAGCGGUUUCCUGGGCAACCGGCCUCCUCCGGCGCGGCCCGCGCGGCUCCAGGUGGCGGGAGGCGGCGGUUGGCGGGAAGGGCCGCGCGGGCCCGGGGGCGGCGCCUCAGGUAGCAGCGCCAGGUGGCGCCCGUGGGCGGCGGGGCUCCCGGGGAGGCGCCUGCUCCCGCCCACGCCGGGCCCGGCCUUCGCGAGCUUCCUUCUGGAUUCCAGCGCGAAGCCGCCGCGGAAACUCCCCGGGCGGGCAUCGGAGCUCUGGGGCGGGGCGGCCGGGCUCAGAGGGCGGGCGGGAGCAGGCGGGCGGCGAGGGCGGGCAGCAGCAGCGGGAGCAGGGGCGCCCCGGGCGCCGGGGCCGCUGGGGACGAACGCGGCGGGUCAGGCCCCGAAGCCCGGGCCGCGGUGGCCGCCUCAGGCGCCCGCUCUGGGGUGGGGGUGGGGGCAUCUUUCGGGACCGAACUCGCCGCAGCCUCCCUCUUUGUGCUCCUUUCCCCUGCUGCCCUUCCAGAUGCGCUCUUUCCAGAAAGGCAGCACACGCAUGUCUCUGCCGUGGCCCCAGAUCCUCCCCGCGCCGCCGUUUUGAGCGUUCACACUCAUUACCCAGGUCCGUCUGGGAGACCCGCCGGGCUCCCGCCCUCCCGGCCCGCAGCCUCCUGGCCAAAAUCCUCCCGGGACACCCCACCUGGACUGCUGCGAACGGGCCUCCACCCGCCUCCCCGGACCCGCAGCGCCCCCCGCUCCCUCAGGGUUCUGGGGUGAAGGGGUCUGAAUAGCACCAGGGGAGGCGGCAGGGCGGGCCUGUCCUACCUGCGCCCGAGCACUGCUGAGACGACAUCCCUUCCAGCGCCGCCACGUAGUCCAGCCCCAGCCAGCCGCGAUAUCUCCCCACAAACCUAAACAAUUUCGAGAGGGACUUGUGUUCUGCAACCAGUCACAGAAUAUCAGGUGAGCUGGGCGUGUCUUCACUGACCCACCCGCCCAGGGAUGCUGCACUCCUCUCCACCCUGCUCAGAAUCACUAGAAUGACCGUUCUGUGGCUACAGCCCUAAAAGAGCUACUAAAAAGACCAGAAGUAGUAUGAGAACUUAUGAAUACGAAUAUAAAUAAAGGACAUCUGGAGAACAUGCA
RNAcentral lists this long non-coding RNA (1316 nucleotides) under Homo sapiens (human). RNAcentral's name for it is "long non-coding RNA NONHSAT094379.2". The record is from RNAcentral. Lineage: Eukaryota; Metazoa; Chordata; Mammalia; Primates; Hominidae.